RNAcentral lists this ribosomal RNA (846 nucleotides) under uncultured archaeon. RNAcentral describes it as "bacterial SSU rRNA". It matches the Rfam family "Archaeal small subunit ribosomal RNA", at positions 508 to 1353 of the family's 1478-position model. The record is from RNAcentral.
GCUUAAAGGGGCCGUAGCAGGAUUAGUUAGUUCUCGGUGAAAUUGUUUAGCUUAACUGAACGAAUUGCCUUGAAUACUGCUAGUCUAGGGAUAGGGAGAGGUCAGGAGUAUGCUUGGGGGAGGGGUAAAAUCCUUUAAUCCUAAGUAGACUAUCAAUGGCGAAGGCACCUGACUGGAACUGGUCCGACUGUGAGGGACGAAAGUUAGGGUAGCAAACGGGAUUAGAUACCCCGGUAGUCCUAACCGUAAACGCUGCCCGCUGGGUGUUGCAAAUUCCUAGUGUUUUUGCAGUGCCGUAGUGAAGACGAUAAGCGGGCCGCCUGGGGAGUACGGUCGCAAGGCUGAAACUUAAAGGAAUUGGCGGGGGAGCACAACAAGGGGGGGAGCCUGCGGUUUAAUUGGAUUCAACGCCGGAAAUCUCACCAAGGGCGACAGCAGUAUGAAGGCCAGAUUAAAGGUCUUGCCUAACGCGCUGAGAGGAGGUGCAUGGCCGUCGAAAGUUCGUGUCGUGAGAUGUCCUGUUAAGUCAGGCAACGAACAAGACCCACGCUAAUAUUUGCUAAGCGGAUUUCGAUCUGUGCGGGCACAAUAUUAGGACUGCAUUUGUUAAAAAUGAGGAAGGUGUGGGCAACGGUAGGUCAGUAUGCCCCGAAUCCCUUGGGCCACACGCGGGCUACAAUGGCUAGGACAAUGGGCUGCUACUCCGAGAGGAGACGCCAAUCCCCUAAACCUAGUCUCAGUACGAAUUGAGGGUUGUAACUCACCCUCAUGAAGAUGGACUCCCUAGUAAUCGUGAUCCAUUCAUUCACGGUGAAUACGUCCCUGCUCCUUGUACCCACCGCCCGU